This 364-nucleotide long non-coding RNA is filed under the name Anser brachyrhynchus (Pink-footed goose). RNAcentral's name for it is "lncRNA (ENSABRG00000006653.1)". The record is from RNAcentral. Lineage: Eukaryota; Metazoa; Chordata; Aves; Anseriformes; Anatidae.
AUGCAUACUGUCUGCUGCAGAGCGCAGUUAUCCACUUUGUCAAGUCAUGUGUCAAAGGAUAUUAAUUUCUGCGAUGACAUUAGGACAUGUCAAUGGACACAAGAGGAUGAAGGGAAACUCUCUUUAUCCGAGAGGAAGCUGUGGGCAUUGCUAUUUCCCUGGCUGGAAAGUGUGCAGUUAAUGACAGUUUUAGGUGAUUCUGCUGAUAGUUACAUGCAGUGUAUUAGAUUUCAUCCUUUGUCUUUACUGAGGAAAGUUUCUUACUGACAGACACAGGAGUGGAAAUCAAAUAAGGUAAGGUGAGCUUUGAUCCAAACUAAGUUUCUCUGUCUUCCUUUGAUGUUUGGGUAUAGAAAGUAAUAAC